Non-coding RNA from Drosophila virilis, 172 nucleotides. Lineage: Eukaryota; Metazoa; Arthropoda; Insecta; Diptera; Drosophilidae. The record is from Rfam.
ACAGUCGUCCAGCUAUUUAUAACAGGGUAUCAGAAACCCUGAUAGAUCCUCCAUCGAAGGACAACAAAUAUUAAACUGAUUUGUGGAAUUAGACGGAGUGCUAGGAGCCUGCUCCACCUCUGUCGCGGCUUUUCCUGGUAUUGCAGUACCGCCAGGAUUUCGGCCCAACUAA